This 460-nucleotide ribosomal RNA is filed under the name uncultured bacterium. Its description in RNAcentral is "partial 16S ribosomal RNA". It matches the Rfam family "Bacterial small subunit ribosomal RNA", at positions 338 to 795 of the family's 1533-position model. The record is from RNAcentral.
CCUACGGGCGGCAGCAGUGAGGAAUAUUGGUCAAUGGGCGGAAGCCUGAACCAGCCAAGUCGCGUGAGGGAAUAAGGCCCUACGGGUCGUAAACCUCUUUUGCCGGGGAGCAAGGGCGGGGACGUGUCCCGGCCCGGAGAGUACCCGGAGAAAAAGCAUCGGCUAACUCCGUGCCAGCAGCCGCGGUAAUACGGAGGAUGCGAGCGUUAUCCGGAUUUAUUGGGUUUAAAGGGUGCGUAGGCGGGCUUUUAAGUCAGCGGUAAAAAUUCGGGGCUCAACCCCGUCCGGCCGUUGAAACUGGGGGCCUUGAGUGGGCGAGAAGAAGGCGGAAUGCGUGGUGUAGCGGUGAAAUGCAUAGAUAUCACGCAGAACCCCGAUUGCGAAGGCAGCCUGCUGGACGAUGACUGACGCUGAGGCUCGAAAGCGUGGGGAGCAAACAGGAUUAGAUACCCCAGUAGUC